Sodalis praecaptivus is the source of this 169-nucleotide regulatory RNA element. It matches the Rfam family "M-box riboswitch aptamer (ykoK leader)". Rfam says of the family: M-box riboswitch, also know as ykoK leader is described as a metaloregulatory RNA that sense divalent metals and function as a genetic control element of genes related to divalent metal transport in bacteria. It was first reported upstream of the B.subtilis ykoK gene and genes with related functions in other bacteria. NCBI's taxonomy places the organism in Bacteria, Pseudomonadati, Pseudomonadota, Gammaproteobacteria, Enterobacterales, Bruguierivoracaceae. The record is from Rfam.
GCAGUAUCUCGUUUGGCGAGGCUCCUAUACAAAUACAGGUUACUGAUCUGACGACGUCGAGAGACGCCCAAGGUUAGGACAGGCUUUAUCGGAUUAAGGUUUAGCCCAAAGUAACUUCUGUUAUACAGAUACGUUGUAUAGUGCCAAAACCGUGACGUGGAGAUAGGCU